GUGGGGAAUAUUGGACAAUGGGCGCAAGCCUGAUCCAGCCAUGCCGCGUGAGUGAUGAAGGCCCUAGGGUUGUAAAGCUCUUUCACCGGUGAAGAUAAUGACGGUAACCGGAGAAGAAGCCCCGGCUAACUUCGUGCCAGCAGCCGCGGUAAUACGAAGGGGGCUAGCGUUGUUCGGAAUUACUGGGCGUAAAGCACACGUAGGCGGAUAUUUAAGUUAGGGGUGAAAUCCCAGGGCUCAACCCUGGAACUGCCUCUAAUACUGGGUAUCUCGAGUCCGAGAGAGGUGAGUGGAAUUCCGAGUGUAGAGGUGAAAUUCGUAGAUAUUCGGAAGAACACCAGUGGCGAAGGCGACUCACUGGCCCGUUACUGACGCUGAGGCGCGAAAGCGUGGGGAGCAAACAGGAUUAGAUACCCUGGUAGUCC
This 425-nucleotide ribosomal RNA is filed under the name uncultured bacterium. RNAcentral's name for it is "partial 16S ribosomal RNA". It matches the Rfam family "Bacterial small subunit ribosomal RNA", at positions 354 to 796 of the family's 1533-position model. The record is from RNAcentral.